Molecule: ribosomal RNA, 699 nt
Filed under: uncultured Glomerales
Lineage: Eukaryota; Fungi; Glomeromycota; Glomeromycetes; Glomerales; Glomeraceae
Description: LSU rRNA
Rfam family: Eukaryotic large subunit ribosomal RNA
Source: RNAcentral
GCAUAUCAAUAAGCGGAGGAAAAGAAACUAACAAGGAUUCCCCUAGUAACGGCGAGUGAAGAGGGAAGAGCUCAAAUUUUAAAUCUAUCAUGUUGUACAUGAUCGAGUUGUAAUUUGAAGAAGCGUUUUCUCGUACUUUAUGAUCAGUAUAAGUUCUCUUGGAACAGGACAUCAUAGAGGGUGAUAAUCCCGUCUGUUACUGAUUGUGAGGUUCGUUUAUGAUACGCUUUCAAAGAGUCGAGUUGUUUGGGAAUGCAGCUCAAAAUGGGAGGUAAAUUUCUCCUAAGGCUAAAUAUUGGCGAGAGACCGAUAGCGAACAAGUACCGUGAGGGAAAGAUGAAAAGAACUUUGAAAGGAGAGUUAAAAAGUAUGUGAAAUUGUUGAAAGGGAAACGAUUGAAGUCAGUCGUGCAGUCAUCAAUUCAGCGGUUAACAUUUUAUGUUUCCGUGUAAUUUGGUGUCUGUUGGUUAGCAUCAAUUUUGAUUGUCAUAAAAAGGUUAAGGGGAUGUGGCUCCUUCGGGAGUGUUAUAACCCUUAGCGUAAUGUGACGAUUAGGAUUGAGGUUUGCAACGAAUACCUUUUAGGGCAGUUUCACCUGGCCUCUCGUGGAAUUAUAGAUAGUUAAGAGCAUGCUCUUACUGUCUAUGAUUCUACGAAAAGGUUGGAGUGUAAAACUAAUUCGUUAAGGAUGUUGACGUA